GCCCUGGUGCUUCCGGGGGGUGCCGGGCAGGCUCCGCCCCCUGCAGCAGUAUGGGGCGGGGGAUGUGGUACUUUCUGCAGCAGCAGCCGCCUUGGGUUAUGGCACUUUGGGGCGCCCUUGGCCCGUUAGUUUUUGUCAAGGGCCAAAUUUCUUGGUCAAGGUCCAGACUCCUGAGAAAAUAAUAAUAAAAAAAUAAAAAUAAUAAAAGUAAAUAAGGUAAAUGAAGAUCUGGCAGUCUGGGUUGGACCCCGGGGUCUCCCUCUUGACUACCCCUGCUUUGGGGUACACAUAAGUUAUGUCCGUGACAUUUACAACAAUCAGAAGGGGGCCCUGGGGGGAGAAAGAGAUUCCUUGUUUCUCCAGCAACCUGACACCCUAAUUUUACCUCUUACAGUUUACAGCCUGAUGUAUGGACCAUCAUCUCAUACCCCCGGCAAGGCUAUUUUAAAAUCCACUUUCUAACACAUGGCUGUGAGGGCUGAAGGUUCUCAGGAAAGGAGUUAAAGUAGUAAAAAAAGAGUUCCAAGAGGAUACAUGUGCUAUCUUAUUUUGACUACACUGGGCUGCAAUUCAGCAAAGCAUUUAAGCACAUGGAAUCAAUGGGGCUCCUCCAUAUUAUUGGCAGCUCCCUGAUGAUCCCCUCACAGCCUUAGCCAAGUCCUGAAGUCAUGGCUGCCAUCUUUCAGAUAGAGAAAGAGAAAGAGAUGAUGUUAGGUCCUUCACCGUCACGGUCCUCCAAGAGCUCCCCACAGUACCUCUGCAGCAUUCCCCAUCACCGAAGCACAAUCCAAUUGGGUUCUCCCUCACAUCAGCGACCACAGAUGUGAUGUUUAUUCAUAAACAUUAGAGAUGGAUCCAGGCUACAACUCCGAACCCCCUGUACCGGGUGAAGAAGACGAUUGGAAUCCAAACACCUAUCUGGAUCCACAUUUUGCAAAUGGCACCUCUUUUUAUAAAAGGUGGAGCCAAAACACGAUCAAAAAAUCCUCAGACUUUUUAGGGGUUCAAGAUCAGAGUCCAAGUGUGGAGGCUUUGUUCCAUAUUUAAAAUACAGCUAUACAGCCUUUGAUUUUGUCAUAGUUAUAUUUAUUUCUCACCCCUGCAACAGGGGUAGGUGAGUGGCAAUGGAUACUCUAUUUCUGAUUCAAACACAACAGUCUAAAGGCUUAGUGGACACAUACUCUGUACCCAGCAGCAGCAUGUCUUGGGGUUUAACAU
This is a long non-coding RNA of Chelonia mydas (Green sea turtle), 1218 nucleotides long. RefSeq lists it as uncharacterized. The record is from RefSeq and is a predicted model, not a curated record. The transcript has 3 exons. Lineage: Eukaryota; Metazoa; Chordata; Testudines; Cheloniidae.